UUAUUGUGCAGGUUCAGUGGUGUUGUGACUGGAGUAGGUGAUUUGGAUCCAUAUAGAUGGCCCAGUUCAAAGUGGAGAUGCUUGAUGGUUAUGUGGGAUGAUGAUUUUAUGAGUAAUCAU
Ipomoea nil (Japanese morning glory) is the source of this 120-nucleotide long non-coding RNA. RefSeq lists it as uncharacterized. Lineage: Eukaryota; Viridiplantae; Streptophyta; Magnoliopsida; Solanales; Convolvulaceae. The transcript is spliced from 2 exons. The record is from RefSeq and is a predicted model, not a curated record.